CUUUGAGGUUCUUUAGCAAUGAGCCAUCGUCAAGAACUUCCGGGUUCUGAGCAAGCGAGCCAGCAUUGAGAACUACAAAGUUCACUUCUGAACUUUAAAGACCUUACGAGCAUCGAAAACUUUCGUACUCUAUGCCGGUGAGCCUGCAUCGAGAAUUACAGAGUUCUCUACUGAACCCUAAAGCCUUGCUAGCAUGAAGAACUUCGGUUUCUCUACCAGCGAGCAAGCAUCGAGAACCACAAAGUUCUCUGUUGAACCCCAA
This 262-nucleotide long non-coding RNA is filed under the name Hordeum vulgare. RNAcentral describes it as "long non-coding RNA (HVUL_LNC004070)". Lineage: Eukaryota; Viridiplantae; Streptophyta; Magnoliopsida; Poales; Poaceae. The record is from RNAcentral.